This 561-nucleotide ribosomal RNA is filed under the name uncultured Methanomicrobiales archaeon. RNAcentral describes it as "bacterial SSU rRNA". It matches the Rfam family "Archaeal small subunit ribosomal RNA", at positions 339 to 905 of the family's 1478-position model. Lineage: Archaea; Methanobacteriati; Methanobacteriota; Methanomicrobia; Methanomicrobiales. The record is from RNAcentral.
GCGCGAAAACUUUACAAUGCGGGCAACCGUGAUAAGGGAACCCCGAGUGCCCGUAAAUUCGGGCUGUUAAUCUGUGUAAAAAGCAGGUGGAGAAAGGGCCGGGCAAGACCGGUGCCAGCCGCCGCGGUAAUACCGGCGGCUCGAGUGGUGGCCACUAUUACUGGGCUUAAAGCGUCCGUAGCUGGAUUGUUAAGUCUCUUGGGAAAUCUACCGGCUUAACCGAUAGGCGUUCAAGGGAUACUGGCAAUCUAGGGACCGGGAGAGGUGAGAGGUACUCCAGGGGUAGGAGUGAAAUCCUGUAAUCCUUGGGGGACCACCUGUGGCGAAGGCGUCUCACCAGAACGGCUCCGACAGUGAGGGACGAAAGCUGGGGGAGCAAACCGGAUUAGAUACCCGGGUAGUCCCAGCUGUAAACGAUGUGCGUUAGGUGUAUCGGUGACCACGAGUCACCGAGGUGCCGAAGAGAAAUCGUGAAACGUACCGCCUGGGAAGUACGGUCGCAAGGCUGAAACUUAAAGGAAUUGGCGGGGGAGCACCACAACGGGUGAGCCUGCGGUUUAA